RNAcentral lists this small nucleolar RNA (130 nucleotides) under Meriones unguiculatus (Mongolian gerbil). Its description in RNAcentral is "Small nucleolar RNA SNORA48 (ENSMUGG00000003869.1)". It matches the Rfam family "Small nucleolar RNA SNORA48". Rfam says of the family: The snoRNA ACA 48 has been identified to guide pseudouridylation of the residue U3797 in the 28S rRNA subunit. Its host gene EIF4A1 (eukaryotic translation initiation factor 4A1) is shared with U67 and snoRNA mgU6-77 Lineage: Eukaryota; Metazoa; Chordata; Mammalia; Rodentia; Muridae. The record is from RNAcentral.
UCCCCCGGCAGUGGGCAAAGAGACACCUUGGUGGUGGUGGCAUUCUUUUAUCAGUCAUGGGCAGAGCAGAUGGCGGUCCUUUGCUCAUCCUAGCUUGGCGGCCAAAGCUGUUUAUGCCUCGGACACAUAA